CCCAGUGUUCAGACUACCUGUC
Molecule: microRNA, 22 nt
Filed under: Sarcophilus harrisii (Tasmanian devil)
Lineage: Eukaryota; Metazoa; Chordata; Mammalia; Dasyuromorphia; Dasyuridae
Also listed under: 2 other names
Description: Sha-Mir-199-P3-v3_5p* (star (passenger))
Source: RNAcentral